Molecule: transfer RNA, 82 nt
Filed under: Blumeria hordei DH14
Lineage: Eukaryota; Fungi; Ascomycota; Leotiomycetes; Helotiales; Erysiphaceae
Also listed under: 1 other name
Description: tRNA-Leu (TAA) (tRNA-Leu-TAA-1-1)
Rfam family: tRNA
About the family: Transfer RNA (tRNA) molecules are approximately 80 nucleotides in length.
Source: RNAcentral
GCUGAUUUGGCCGAGUGGUCUAAGGCGGUGGUCUUAAGCACCAUUAUCGAAAGAUGCGUGAGUUCGAACCUCACAGUCAGCA